UCCAGACCAUAUGUUUUUAAAAACUAAAAUGAAAAGAGCAACAUUUAAUCUGAGCUCCUGAGAGGUGUAUUUUCUUUAUAGCUAGCCCUGGAGUGCCUGGAACAUAACUGCCAUUCAAGGUGUUUUGGGGGGAAGAGGGGUGUGUGCUCUUUUUUUACUCUGUGAAACAAGCUCAGGGAGGAAAUGACCUAACUCGUAAAGCAAUGUGUGUGCUUUGUGACAGGGUGCGGGGUAGUGUAGGAGGUGGGGAUCUUGGGUUGAGUCCUGAUCUUUUCUGCUGUUACAUUCCAGCUUUGCGUGACUAAGGUCUGUAACAAUAGAAAGCUGCCAGACCCCACGGAUAGGCUCUCGCUUCUUGGAGCCAGUGGGAACUGAACUGGAAAAAAAAAAUGCUUUACAAAGGCUAUGCUUGCUGAAAGAUUCCUACCUGGCUCAGAGAAAGGGGGAGUCCCAUGAGAAACUAACCAUGGGUCAGUAAGCAACUGCUGACGUGACAUUUUUUCCAAGAGUGUGUCUUCUUUUGAACGCCAUCCAAACCCCAGCACUUAACAGCAUGAGAAGGUAUUGCAGGGAGAGACCCUAGGAAAAAACCCAGCAUUAGCAAUCUGCUUUUCCAAACUUCCCUUGGCAGGUGACUGUGGAGCUGCACAUGUUCUAGAGAGAUAGUUAAAGGCUUCUUCCCCUCCUGGCUUCAGCUGCAGGAGGAAAAAUCCCCUGUGUGUUAAGUCCAUACAGAACUGGAUGUGCCCUCCACUCUCAAUAAAAGCAGGUUCUUCUGGCCUCAGUGAAACAACUUUAAAUUCUGCUUACACUGGAAAUCUCUGGUUCGAGUGCUCUUCCUACUUCACUCGACAGCAUCCAUGCAAAACAUCUGAAGCAUUUACUCUAAUCGAUACUCUGGCAGUUUGAGAUCGCUAAAAGAAAGAGGCUGCUAUCAUCUGAGCUGUGAAAUGCUCUGGAAGUGUAUAUUAAUCUUAAUAUAAUUGCCCGAAGGGCACCGGCUGACCUGCAUUGCCCUGCAGCAGAAGUUACUGUAAAGUUGACAAAUGAUUUUAACAGAGCUUUAGUGGUCACCUGAGGACAGUCAGUAUAUAGCACUGUACCCUGCUAUUUUAACUGCAAUGUAGGGUUUAAAUGACUUUUAAGAAGUGCUGCUUUUUCCCUAAGAUGUACUCUGGAAUGGAAAUAUUAAGUCAUCCCUUUUGAUUGCCCCAAGGUACCGUGAUUUCUUUUGGCAUAUAUCAUAGCAGUCAAGUUCAAAGCCAUUAAGAUUUAAGGGAAAUGAGCUUUGCAGUUGAAGGGGGAAAAAAAUCUUUUUCUCUGAAAGAUGGAGCUCGUUGCAUUGCAAAGGUGCAAGUACAGGGAGGCCGAUGAUCUCUCAUGUACAGUAUGUAGCGCCUUUCAUCCCAGGUUAGUGCAACCCUCAACGCCCCCAUGGAGCUGGUUCAAUGUUCCUUUGCUCCACUCAGGUGGCACAAAGGGACCUUAGAAGGG
Molecule: long non-coding RNA, 1494 nt
Filed under: Chrysemys picta bellii (western painted turtle)
Lineage: Eukaryota; Metazoa; Chordata; Testudines; Emydidae
Description: lncRNA (ENSCPBG00000025058.1)
Source: RNAcentral